This 48-nucleotide non-coding RNA is filed under the name Trichobilharzia regenti. Lineage: Eukaryota; Metazoa; Platyhelminthes; Trematoda; Strigeidida; Schistosomatidae. The record is from RNAcentral.
AUCCAGUUGCUGACGAGUCCCAAAUAGGACGAAAUACGCAUCCUGGAU